AGGACGAACGCUGGCGGCGUGCUUAACACAUGCAAGUCGAGCGGAAAGGCCCUUCGGGGUACUCGAGCGGCGAACGGGUGAGUAACACGUGAGUAAUCUGCCCCUAGCUCUGGGAUAGCUCCGGGAAAACCGGGAUUAAUACCGGAUACGACCACCUUAGACAUCUUUUGUGGUGGAAAGAAUUUCGGCUAGGGAUGAGCUCGCGGCCUAUCAGCUUGUUGGUGGGUAACGCCUACCAAGGCGACGACGGGUA
RNAcentral lists this ribosomal RNA (253 nucleotides) under uncultured bacterium. RNAcentral describes it as "partial small subunit ribosomal RNA". It matches the Rfam family "Bacterial small subunit ribosomal RNA", at positions 26 to 285 of the family's 1533-position model. The record is from RNAcentral.